This 416-nucleotide ribosomal RNA is filed under the name Tytthus chinensis. Its description in RNAcentral is "partial large subunit ribosomal RNA". The stretch from base 290 to 416 matches the Rfam family "Archaeal large subunit ribosomal RNA", at positions 2542 to 2669 of the family's 2987-position model. Lineage: Eukaryota; Metazoa; Arthropoda; Insecta; Hemiptera; Miridae. The record is from RNAcentral.
GUCUCUUAAUUGGAGUCUGGUAUGAAUGGUUGGAUGAAAAAUUUACUUUCUUUAUUUUAAAUAUAAAAUUUAAUUUUUAAGUUAAAAAGCUUAAAUUUUUAUAUAGGACGAGAAGACCCUAUAGAACUUUAUUUUUUAUUAAAAAUAUAUUAUUUUGAAAAUGAUUUUUAUUUUUUUAUUUGAAAUUAUAUUGGGGUGAUAAAAAAAAUUUAAUAACUUUUUUUAUUUUUUUCAUUUAUAUAUGAUAUUUUGAUCCUAUAAUAUGGAAAUAAGAUUAAGUUACCUUAGGGAUAACAGCGUUAUUACUUUGGAGAGUUCAAAUCUAUAAAGUAGUUUGCGACCUCGAUGUUGGAUUAAAAUUAGUUUCAGGGGCAAAAUAUUGAUUACUAGGUCUGUUCGACCUUUAAAAUUUUACA